RNAcentral lists this long non-coding RNA (1093 nucleotides) under Homo sapiens (human). Its description in RNAcentral is "novel transcript". Lineage: Eukaryota; Metazoa; Chordata; Mammalia; Primates; Hominidae. The record is from RNAcentral.
ACAGAGUCUCACUCUGUCUCCCACACUAGAGUACAGGGGCACAAUCUCGGCUCACUGCAACUUCUGCCUCCUGGGUUCCAUUGAUUCUCCCGCCUCAGCCUCCCGGAUAGCUGGGAUUACAGGCGUGCGCCACCACACCUGGCCCUACAGUUUCAAGAUGAUGGGAUGACAGCAUUUCUACCUUACUCUCUGCCUGAACCAAAAUGAGGUGGCAAAGUCACAGGAACAGAAGUCCUGCUUUUGGUGAGACUACAAGACACCUGGAACCUGAAUCACAGUGUAGAAGAACGUCAGCAGACAGUGGACGCAAACAUGACCCCACAGAGCGGACAGUCUGGAGCAGCCAGUGGAUCCCUCCACAUGACCUGUGUGAAAGGAAAGGAAAAUCUCGAGACCAAACUCACCAUGCCAAAGGGAACUGAGUCAUGCAAUGCCUGCCUGCCUUCUGUUUCCAGACAGCUGUGAUCCCCAUGCCUGCGUUAUCGCAUGUCAAAUGUAGACCUACUGAGCGUGAGACAGAUGCAUGACUGGCUUUCCCCUAACUCUGUUCUUUUUUUUUUUUUUUUUUUGAGAUGGAGUCUCACUCUGUCAUCUAGGCUGGAGUGCAGUGGGGCGAUCUUGGCUCAUUGCAACCUCCGCCUCCUGGGUUCAAACGAGCCUCCUGCCUCAGCCUCCCGAGUAGCUGGGAUUACCGGCGCAUGCCACCAUGCCUGGCUAAUUUUUUUGGUAUUUUUAGUAGAGAUGGGGUUUCGGCAUAUUGGCCAGGCUGGUCUCAAACUCCUGGCCUCAAGUGAUGUGCCCAUCUCAGCCUCCCAAAGUGUUGGGAUUACAGGCAUGAGCCACCAUGCCCGGCCGGCUCCAUUCUUUACACAGGUGAAAUGUAGAUUCUCUGAGUGCUAAUCAGAGCCUCAUGAGAAUGUGGCCUCUCACCUGUUUGCCUACCCUCUUUGUUUCCCUUUUCUCCUUUCUCUUGAAACACUGAAGUCCUUAAAACCCUCUUUGGUAAAAGCACAGGACACAGAUUCUAUUGUGCCUUGAGUUUCUUUUUCCCGGGCACAUGCUCAACCUCAGCAAAAUAAAUCUCUCAGCCGAU